UAUGCCCCGAAUAUCCCAGGCUACACGCGAGCUACAAUGGUUGGUACAAUGGGUAUCUACCCCGAAAGGGGACGGGAAUCUCCUAAAACCAAUCUUAGUUCGGAUUGAGGGCUGCAACUCGCCCUCAUGAAGCUGGAAUCCGUAGUAAUCGCGUUUCAACAGAACGCGGUGAAUACGUCCCUGCUCCUU
RNAcentral lists this ribosomal RNA (189 nucleotides) under uncultured Methanosaeta sp. RNAcentral's name for it is "partial 16S ribosomal RNA". It matches the Rfam family "Archaeal small subunit ribosomal RNA", at positions 1150 to 1338 of the family's 1478-position model. Lineage: Archaea; Methanobacteriati; Methanobacteriota; Methanomicrobia; Methanotrichales; Methanotrichaceae. The record is from RNAcentral.